Neofelis nebulosa (Clouded leopard) is the source of this 236-nucleotide long non-coding RNA. RefSeq lists it as uncharacterized. The transcript has 3 exons. Lineage: Eukaryota; Metazoa; Chordata; Mammalia; Carnivora; Felidae. The record is from RefSeq and is a predicted model, not a curated record.
CAGAGAAUUUAGCAAAGAUCAUACAGCCAGCCAGUGGCAGAACUUGAAUUCACACCUUCUUCCUUGUGUUUCAACUACCUUAAACACUUGCUGCUCAGAAUACAAGCUUCUUAUCCAAGACAGUAUUUCCAGAAAUACAACUUGAGCAAAGCCAAAACAGAAUGAAAACAAAAGAAGGAGAUACCUUACUAGACUUCUUAUCAUUCAUCUGUCAAUAUAAAAGAUACAAGAACUGG